Molecule: unclassified non-coding RNA, 336 nt
Filed under: soil metagenome
Description: partial contains 5.8S ribosomal RNA, internal transcribed spacer 2, and large subunit ribosomal RNA
Rfam family: 5.8S ribosomal RNA (bases 1-120)
Source: RNAcentral
GAUGAAGAACGCAGCGAAAUGCGAUAAGUAGUGUGAAUUGCAGAAUUCAGUGAAUCAUCGAAUCUUUGAACGCACAUUGCGCCCCUUGGUAUUCCAUGGGGCAUGCCUGUUCGAGCGUCAUUUGUACCCUCAAGCUUUGCUUGGUGUUGGGUGUUUGUCCUCUCCUUUGCGUUUGGACUCGCCUUAAAGCAAUUGGCAGCCAGUGUUUUGGUAUUGAAGCGCAGCACAUUUUGCGAUUCUAGCCGAUAAUACUUGCGUCCAUAAGCCUUUUUUAACUUUUGACCUCGGAUCAGGUAGGGAUACCCGCUGAACUUAAGCAUAUCAAUAAGCGGAGGA